ACGCUCGACACCUACGGGAGGCUGCAGUGGGGAAUAUUGCACAAUGGGGGAAACCCUGAUGCAGCGACGCCGCGUGAGCGAAGAAGUAUUUCGGUAUGUAAAGCUCUAUCAGCGAAGGGAAGAAACUGACGGUACCUGACUAAGAAGCACCGGCUAAAUACGUGCCAGCAGCCGCGGUAAUCUGAGCGGGCUGGCAAGGC
This 200-nucleotide ribosomal RNA is filed under the name uncultured bacterium. RNAcentral's name for it is "partial 16S ribosomal RNA". It matches the Rfam family "Bacterial small subunit ribosomal RNA", at positions 328 to 539 of the family's 1533-position model. The record is from RNAcentral.